GAUGAACGCUGGCGGCGUGCCUAAUACAUGCAAGUCGAGCGAACAGACGAGGAGCUUGCUCCUCUGACGUUAGCGGCGGACGGGUGAGUAACACGUGGAUAACCUACUUAUAAGACUGGGAUAACUUCGGGAAACCGGAGCUAAUACCGGAUAAUAUAUUGAACCGCAUGGUUCAUUAGUGAAAGACGGUUUUGCUGUCACUUAUAGAUGGAUCCGCGCCGCAUUAGCUAGUUGGUAAGGUAACGGCUUACCAAGGCAACGAUGCGUAGCCGACCUGAGAGGGUGAUCGGCCACACUGGAACUUAGACACGGUCCAGACUCCUACGGGAGGCAGCAGUAGGGAAUCUUCCGCAAUGGGCGAAAGCCUGACGGAGCAACGCCGCGUGAGUGAUGAAGGUCUUCGGAUCGUAAAACUCUGUUAUUAGGGAAGAACAAAUGUGUAAGUAACUAUGCACGUCUUGACGGUACCUAAUCAGAAAGCCACGGCUAACUACGUG
This 497-nucleotide ribosomal RNA is filed under the name uncultured bacterium. RNAcentral's name for it is "partial 16S ribosomal RNA". It matches the Rfam family "Bacterial small subunit ribosomal RNA", at positions 28 to 507 of the family's 1533-position model. The record is from RNAcentral.